CAGUCGCCACGGUAAUACGGAGGGUGCAAGCGUUAAUCGGAAUUACUGGGCGUAAAGCGUGCGUAGGUGGUGGUUUAAGUCCGUUGUGAAAGCCCUGGGCUCAACCUGGGAAUUGCAGUGGAUACUGGGUCACUAGAGUGUGGUAGAGGAUAGUGGAAUUUCCGGUGUAGCAGUGAAAUGCGUAGAGAUCGGAAGGAACAUCUGUGGCGAAGGCGACUAUCUGGGCCAACACUGACACUGAGGCACGAAAGCGUGGGGAGCAAACAGGAUUAGAUACCCCAGUAGUCCCUGUCUCUUAUAC
This 301-nucleotide ribosomal RNA is filed under the name uncultured bacterium. RNAcentral describes it as "partial 16S ribosomal RNA". It matches the Rfam family "Bacterial small subunit ribosomal RNA", at positions 509 to 807 of the family's 1533-position model. The record is from RNAcentral.